AUUCGUUCUGCAAAUAAAUACACUCCAAAUUAGUACAAUUUUGAUUGGUCGAACUUUGCCAUUAUGCGCAAUGGUUCACCUUAUAUAAUUCUAUCAUGGUUCUUGGAAUAAGCGCACUGAAAACGAUACAGCUGAUCAGAAGUCUCAUACGAUAGAGCAGUAUAAACUUUCGGAGAGUCAUAUGCGCGAGGUUCGGUUCUCAGAAUAAACGCAUUGAAGAUUGAUCGAAAUUCUUAUAUUUGUUCCGAUAGAACGAAAAAUCGUAUAUGCGCGUGGUUCCAUUCUUGAAAUGUGCGCAUUGAAAACGAUACGUCUUAUUGGAGUUUCAUAUUUGUUCCGAUAGAGCGGUAUAAACUUUCGGAAAGACCCAUAUACAUGCGUCGACCAUACAUGUAUCGGAAAAAUCAGAUACAGAACCAUAUGUAAUAGAUACGAUUGAAAUAUUUAGUAAACAUCUGUAUUCAUCCUAAAAAUACAGGACAAAAACAAGAUGGAAGCGGUAAGGUAGAUCUUAAAUCUCUAUCGUACUCAAUCGGUUCUUUUGAUUUUUUUAAGCAGAGUACACUUGUGUACAUUAAAUAAAGGAAUUCACCAUAAAUACAAAAAGGUUCAUUGCAUAUU
This is a long non-coding RNA of Atta colombica, 621 nucleotides long. RefSeq lists it as uncharacterized. Lineage: Eukaryota; Metazoa; Arthropoda; Insecta; Hymenoptera; Formicidae. The transcript has 3 exons. The record is from RefSeq and is a predicted model, not a curated record.